CCUACGGGGGGCAGCAGUGAGGGAUAUUGGUCAAUGGGCGAAAGCCUGAACCAGCGACGCCGCGUGAGGGAAGACGGUCUUCGGAUUGUAAACCUCUGUCUUUUGGGAAGAUAAUGACGGUACCCGAAGAGGAAGCUCCGGCAAACUACGUGCCAGCAGCCGCGGUAAUACGUAGGGAGCAAGCGUUGUCCGGAUUUACUGGGUGAAAAGGGUGCGUAGGCGGGUUGGAAAGUAGAAGGUAAAAUCCAUGGGCUAAACCGUGGACUGCGUUUGAAACUGCCGUUCUUGAGUGAAGUAGAGGUAGGCGGAAUUCCUGGUGUAGCGGUGAAAUGCGUAGAGAUCAGGAGGAACACCAGUGGCGAAGGCGGCCUACUGGGCAUUAACUGACGCUGAGGCACGAAAGCGAGGGUAGCGAACGGGAUUAGAUACCCCGGUAGUC
This 439-nucleotide ribosomal RNA is filed under the name uncultured bacterium. RNAcentral describes it as "partial 16S ribosomal RNA". It matches the Rfam family "Bacterial small subunit ribosomal RNA", at positions 338 to 795 of the family's 1533-position model. The record is from RNAcentral.